GCUGUUGUAGCUCAGGGGUAGAGCACUUCCUUGGUAAGGAAGAGGUCGUGAGUUCAAUCCUCAUCAACAGCUCUA
Molecule: transfer RNA, 75 nt
Filed under: Rikenellaceae bacterium
Lineage: Bacteria; Pseudomonadati; Bacteroidota; Bacteroidia; Bacteroidales; Rikenellaceae
Description: tRNA-Thr
Rfam family: tRNA
About the family: Transfer RNA (tRNA) molecules are approximately 80 nucleotides in length. Their secondary structure includes four short double-helical elements and three loops (D, anti-codon, and T loops).
Source: RNAcentral